GCGUCCGUAGCUCAGUUGGUAGAGCACCGGCCUGAAGAGCCGGGUGUCACUGGUUCGAUUCCAGUCGGACGCACCA
This 76-nucleotide transfer RNA is filed under the name Achromobacter anxifer. Its description in RNAcentral is "tRNA-Phe". It matches the Rfam family "tRNA". Rfam says of the family: Transfer RNA (tRNA) molecules are approximately 80 nucleotides in length. Their secondary structure includes four short double-helical elements and three loops (D, anti-codon, and T loops). Further hydrogen bonds mediate the characteristic L-shaped molecular structure. tRNAs have two regions of fundamental functional importance: the anti-codon, which is responsible for specific mRNA codon recognition, and the 3' end, to which the tRNAs corresponding amino acid is attached (by aminoacyl-tRNA synthetases). tRNAs cope with the degeneracy of the genetic code in two manners: having more than one tRNA (with a specific anti-codon) for a particular amino acid; and 'wobble' base-pairing, i.e. permitting non-standard base-pairing at the 3rd anti-codon position. The record is from RNAcentral. Lineage: Bacteria; Pseudomonadati; Pseudomonadota; Betaproteobacteria; Burkholderiales; Alcaligenaceae.